This 1335-nucleotide ribosomal RNA is filed under the name uncultured organism. RNAcentral's name for it is "bacterial SSU rRNA". It matches the Rfam family "Bacterial small subunit ribosomal RNA", at positions 66 to 1398 of the family's 1533-position model. The record is from RNAcentral.
GGCAGCACGAGGUAGCAAUACUUUGGUGGCGACCGGCGCACGGGUGAGUAACGCGUAUGCAACCUUCCUUUUACAGGAGGAUAGCUUCCGGAAACGGAAAUUAAUACUCCAUACAAUUACGAAGUGGCAUCACUUUCAGAUUAAAGCUACGGCGGUAAAAGAUGGGCAUGCGUAACAUUAGCUAGUUGGUAAGGUAAAGGCUCACCAAGGCGACGAUGUUUAGGGGUCCUGAGAGGGUUAUCCCCCACACUGGUACUGAGACACGGACCAGACUCCUACGGGAGGCAGCAGUGAGGAAUAUUGGUCAAUGGGCGCAAGCCUGAACCAGCCAUCCCGCGUGCAGGAAGACGGCCCUAUGGGUUGUAAACUGCUUUUCUGAGGGAAGAAUAACGCUGAUUCGUUCAGUGGACGACGGUACCUCAGGAAUAAGCAUCGGCUAACUCCGUGCCAGCAGCCGCGGUAAUACGGAGGAUGCGAGCGUUAUCCGGAUUCAUUGGGUUUAAAGGGUGCGUAGGCGGACUGGUAAGUCAGUGGUGAAAUCCUGCAGCUUAACUGUGGAAUUGCCAUUGAAACUGUCAGUCUUGAGUCAGGUUGAGGUAGGCGGAAUGUGUAAUGUAGCGGUGAAAUGCAUAGAUAUUACACAGAACACCGAUUGCGUAGGCAGCUUACUGGACCUGCACUGACGCUGAGGCACGAAAGCGUGGGGAUCAAACAGGAUUAGAUACCCUGGUAGUCCACGCCGUACACUAUGAUUACUCGUUAGUUGGCAAUACAUCGUCAGGCGAACCAAGCGAACGCGAUCAAGUAAUCCACCUGGGGAGUACGCUCGCAAGAGUGAAACUCAAAGGACUUGACUGGGGCCCGCACAAUCGGUGGAACAUGUGGUUUUAUUCGAUGAUACGCGAGGUACCUUAUCCGGGCUUAAAUUUAGUCUGUAUAGCGUGGAUACAUGCUUGUCUUUUAGACUGUUUACAAGGUGCUGCAUGGUUGUCGUCAGCUCGUGCCGUGAGGUGUCGGGUUAAGUCCCAUAACGAGCGCUACCCUUAUCGUUAGUUGCCAUCGGGUAAAGCCGGGGACUCUAGCGAAACUGCCACCGUAAGGUGAGUGGAAGGUGGGGAUGACGUCAAAUCAGCACGGCCCUUAUGUCCAGGGCUACACACGUGUUACAAUGGUUAGAACAAAGGGCAGCUACCUGGUGACAGGAUGCUAAUCUCUAAAUCUGGCCGUAGUUCGGAUCGGAGUCUGCUACUCGACUCCGUGAAGCUGGAAUCGCUAGUAAUCGCGCAUCGGCCAUGGCGCGGUGAUACGUUCCCGGGCCUGUACACACCGCCCGUC